Molecule: ribosomal RNA, 432 nt
Filed under: uncultured bacterium
Lineage: Bacteria
Description: bacterial SSU rRNA
Rfam family: Bacterial small subunit ribosomal RNA
Source: RNAcentral
ACUCCUACGGGAGGCAGCAGUGGGGAAUAUUGCACAAUGGGCGCAAGCCUGAUGCAGCCAUGCCGCGUGUGUGAAGAAGGCCUUCGGGUUGUAAAGCACUUUCAGUUGUGAGGAAGGUGGUGUCGUUAAUAGCGGCAUCAUUUGACGUUAGCAACAGAAGAAGCACCGGCUAACUCCGUGCCAGCAGCCGCGGUAAUACGGAGGGGUGCGAGCGUUAAUCGGAAUUACUGGGGCGUAAAGCGCAUGCAGGUGGUUUGUUAAGUCAGAUGUGAAAGCCCGGGGCUCAACCUCGGAACUGCAUUUGAAACUGGCAGACUAGAGUACUGUAGAGGGGGUAGAAUUUCAGGUGUAGCGGUGAAAUGCGUAGAGAUCUGAAGGAAUACCGGUGGCGAAGGCGGCCCCCUGGACAGAUACUGACACUCAGAUGCGAAA